Molecule: transfer RNA, 71 nt
Filed under: Marmota monax (woodchuck)
Lineage: Eukaryota; Metazoa; Chordata; Mammalia; Rodentia; Sciuridae
Description: tRNA.Thr
Source: RNAcentral
GGGGCUGUAGCUCAGUGGUAGAGUGCUCGUCUAGUAUGUGUGAGGCCCUGGGCUCUAUCCUCAGCACCACA